This is a long non-coding RNA of Manacus vitellinus (golden-collared manakin), 997 nucleotides long. RefSeq lists it as uncharacterized. NCBI's taxonomy places the organism in Eukaryota, Metazoa, Chordata, Aves, Passeriformes, Pipridae. The transcript is spliced from 3 exons. The record is from RefSeq and is a predicted model, not a curated record.
UGGUCAUUCCAAGCAGAACUGGAGUAUUUUGGAGCAGUACUUCAGGCAACGUUGCCUACCACAGGUUGUUCAUCAUCACAUCCAUGCAGUGCAGUGGAACCACACACAGCUCAAAGGCUGCAGAUGCACAGAAGGAGAUUCCCUCAGUUCCAUCUCGGCUCUUUUGAAGUAUUUGGAGGCAGACUGUCUUAACUGGGCUCUUUGGGUGUCAGAGGGAUGUUAGUGGAGUCUCUUAAAACUGAUUAAUUGCCUUCAUUAGGAGCUGUACUGUAAACAAGCAGUGAUAGUGCAGAAAAUUCAUCGCCAGUCAACAGAAAUGAAAAGCCCAGAGCAAACAUAACAAGCGAUAACUAAUUAUCAACACAUGCCCUAGUUGCUUAAUAGCUCUUUCCCUGAGAUUUGCAGUUGGUGUCUGUAAGUGCUGCUCGAGGAUCAGCCCCUCCUUGCCUGUGCUUCCCAGUAUCACACUGAUGACAGCCUGAAAGCAAUUUUCUCAAUGUAUUUGUUAACACAUACAGAAAGAGAUUUUUCUUGACUGAGAAGCUCAGUCCAAGUAAAAUUCUGACUGGUCCAGCUCCUUCCUUGAGGAGCUCGACACAGCCCCUUGCACCGAGCCAGGCUUUGCCUGCCGAGCUCGCUCAGCUGCUGGGGUCAGACCAACUCUGUUUGGCCGUGUUCAGACCUGAAAUGGAGGCAAUUUCGAGAUGAUCAGCACUUCUCAGAAUCAAUCCCCUCUGCUCACAGAGAAAAUACACUCUGGACCUGAUCAACCCUGUACUUGUAUCCACAUAGAACUGUAGCAUCCUCUGUUCACUUUGCAUUAAACAGCCACAAAACACCGAGUCAGAUCUGUGUGUGUUCCACACCAUAAAGUCAGAUAAAGCCUUCUGGCCUCACCUACUGCCAGAUCCCAAUAAUAUUUACUUGUAAUAUCUCUAGAAUAUGUUUGUGACUUGGAAACAGAUGGUAUGUGUGGUCUCUCUCAGAAAAAGUCAUU